Molecule: ribosomal RNA, 484 nt
Filed under: uncultured bacterium
Lineage: Bacteria
Description: partial 16S ribosomal RNA
Rfam family: Bacterial small subunit ribosomal RNA
Source: RNAcentral
GACGAACGCUGGCGGCGUGCUUAACACAUGCAAGUCGAACGAUGAAGCUGGAGCUUGCUCCGGUGGAUUAGUGGCGAACGGGUGAGUAACACGUGAGUAAUCUGCCCUUGACUCUGGGAUAACUGCGGGAAACUGUAGCUAAUACCGGAUACGACACCUUCGGGCAUCCGAUGGGUGUGGAAAGAAUUUCGGUCAAGGAUGAACUCGCGGCCUAUCAGCUAGUUGGUGAGGUAAUGGCUCACCAAGGCGACGACGGGUAGCCGGCCUGGGAGGGGGACAGGCCACACUGGGACUGAGACACGGCCCAGACUCCUACGGGAGGCAGCAGUGGGGAAUAUUGCACAAUGGGCGAAAGCCUGAUGCAGCAACGCCGCGUGAGGGAUGAAGGCCUUCGGGUUGUAAACCUCUUUUAGUUGGGAAGAAGCGAAAGUGACGGUACCAACAGAAAAAGCACCGGCUAACUACGUGCCAGCCGCCGCCGUAA